RNAcentral lists this long non-coding RNA (201 nucleotides) under Gossypium raimondii (Peruvian cotton). RNAcentral describes it as "long non-coding RNA (GRAI_LNC002153)". Lineage: Eukaryota; Viridiplantae; Streptophyta; Magnoliopsida; Malvales; Malvaceae. The record is from RNAcentral.
UUUUCCAUGUACCGUUCGAAAUGGCCUCACAUGGCCGUGUGCCAGGUCGUGUGCUAGACUGUGUAACUGCUUGACUUGCAACCCUUGGAAAGCUACAGGGGACACACGGCCGUGUGUCAUGCACGGUUGAGACACACGCCCGUGUCUCUGGCCGUGUGGAUGAAAAAUAGGUCAUUUCCAAGCUAUUUUUCUCACCCAUUC